Molecule: non-coding RNA, 363 nt
Organism: Paramuricea clavata
Lineage: Eukaryota; Metazoa; Cnidaria; Anthozoa; Malacalcyonacea; Plexauridae
Source: the annotation of a GenBank genome assembly
UCCAUGAAAUCAGGCAAAUUAUAAGCCCUGAUCCCAUCGACAAGAAUUUCAGAAAUUUUGCACAUACUAUUUUUUUUAAUAAGCCAGGCAAAAAUGCAAAAAAGUUGGACAAGUUUCUUUCUGUCCCUAAUUUUUUCCUCCCGUACAUCUAUGUAUGCUAUAUCCCUUUUCAUGUCCCAAACUUCAUGUUCGAAGAUUCGUACAACAAAAUAUCAACCUUAAUCCUGGCCAUGUAUUCUAUGAAAUGUACAGUACCUUUUUUUGUAAAUAAAAUACAACUGUCCACACUGUACUGUACUAGUCUUCUAUAUCCAAGCCAUAUUCUUUAUACAUCAUUUUUGUUGUCUUACCUUCAAUCUCCGC